RNAcentral lists this ribosomal RNA (220 nucleotides) under uncultured bacterium. RNAcentral's name for it is "partial 16S ribosomal RNA". It matches the Rfam family "Bacterial small subunit ribosomal RNA", at positions 15 to 217 of the family's 1533-position model. The record is from RNAcentral.
GAUCAUGGCUCAGGAUGAACGCUGGCGGCGUGCUUAACACAUGCAAGUCGAACGGGGUACCCUUGACGGAGUUUUCGGACAACUGAUAGGAAUACCUAGUGGCGGACGGGUGAGUGACGCGUGAGUAACCUGCCUUGGAGUGGGGAAUAACAGCUGGAAACAGUUGCUAAUACCGCAUGAUGCAGUCGGAUCGCAUGGUCUGACUGCCAAAGAUUUAUCG